UACGGGGGGGGCAAGCGUUGUUCGGAAUUACUGGGCGUAAAGGGUUCGUAGGUGGCCUGUUAAGUCAGACGUGAAAUCCCUCAGCUCAACUGGGGAACUGCGUCUGAGACUGGUGGGCUUGAGUGCAGGAGAGGAACGCGGAAUUCCAGGUGUAGCGGUGAAGUGCGUAGAUAUCUGGAGGAACACCGGUGGCGAAGGCGGCGUUCUGGACUGCAACUGACACUGAUGAACGAAAGCCAGGGGAGCAAACGGG
RNAcentral lists this ribosomal RNA (253 nucleotides) under uncultured bacterium. RNAcentral's name for it is "partial 16S ribosomal RNA". It matches the Rfam family "Bacterial small subunit ribosomal RNA", at positions 524 to 776 of the family's 1533-position model. The record is from RNAcentral.